AUACGUAGGGUGCGAGCGUUGUCCGGAAUUACUGGGCGUAAAGAGCUCGUAGGUGGUUUGUCGCGUCGUCUGUGAAAUUCCGGGGCUUAACUCCGGGCGUGCAGGCGAUACGGGCAUAACUUGAGUACUGUAGGGGAGACUGGAAUUCCUGGUGUAGCGGUGAAAUGCGCAGAUAUCAGGAGGAACACCGGUGGCGAAGGCGGGUCGCUGGGAAUUAACUGACGCUGAGGAGCGAAAGCAUGGGUAGCGAACAGGAUUAGAUACCCUGGUAGUCCAUGCCGUAAACGGUGGGCGCUAGGUGUAGGGGUCUUCCACGACUUCUGUGCCGUAGCUAACGCAUUAAGCGCCCCGCCUGGGGAGUACGGCCGCAAGGCUAAAACUCAAAUGAAUUGACGGGG
Molecule: ribosomal RNA, 398 nt
Filed under: uncultured bacterium
Lineage: Bacteria
Description: partial 16S ribosomal RNA
Rfam family: Bacterial small subunit ribosomal RNA
Source: RNAcentral